CCUACGGGUGGCAGCAGUGAGGAAUAUUGGUCAAUGGACGAGAGUCUGAACCAGCCAAGUAGCGUGAAGGAUGACUGCCCUAUGGGUUGUAAACUUCUUUUAUAUGGGAAUAAAACGCUCCACGUGUGGGAUUUUGUAUGUACCAUAUGAAUAAGGCUCGGCUAACUCCGUGCCAGCAGCCGCGGUAAUACGGAGGAUCCGAGCGUUAUCCGGAUUUAUUGGGUUUAAAGGGAGCGUAGGUGGAUUGUUAAGUCAGUUGUGAAAGUUUGCGGCUCAACCGUAAAAUUGCAGUUGAAACUGGCAGUCUUGAGUACAGUAGAGGUAGGCGGAAUUCGUGGUGUAGCGGUGAAAUGCUUAGAUAUCACGAAGAACUCCGAUUGCGAAGGCAGUUCACUGGACUGCAACUGACACUGAGGCUCGAAAGUGUGGGUAUCAAACAGGAUUAGAUACCCUUGUAGUC
This 460-nucleotide ribosomal RNA is filed under the name uncultured bacterium. RNAcentral's name for it is "partial 16S ribosomal RNA". It matches the Rfam family "Bacterial small subunit ribosomal RNA", at positions 338 to 795 of the family's 1533-position model. The record is from RNAcentral.